This 498-nucleotide ribosomal RNA is filed under the name uncultured bacterium. Its description in RNAcentral is "partial 16S ribosomal RNA". It matches the Rfam family "Bacterial small subunit ribosomal RNA", at positions 30 to 523 of the family's 1533-position model. The record is from RNAcentral.
AUUGAACGCUGGCGGCAUGCUUUACACAUGCAAGUCGAACGGUAACAGGCCGCAAGGUGCUGACGAGUGGCGAACGGGUGAGUAAUGUAUCGGAACGUGCCCAGUCGUGGGGGAUAACGCAGCGAAAGCUGUGCUAAUACCGCAUACGAUCUAUGGAUGAAAGCGGGGGACCGUAAGGCCUCGCGCGAUUGGAGCGGCCGAUAUCAGAUUAGGUAGUUGGUGGGGUAAAGGCCUACCAAGCCGACGAUCUGUAGCUGGUCUGAGAGGACGACCAGCCACACUGGGACUGAGACACGGCCCAGACUCCUACGGGAGGCAGCAGUGGGGAAUUUUGGACAAUGGGCGCAAGCCUGAUCCAGCAAUGCCGCGUGCAGGACGAAGGCCUUCGGGUUGUAAACUGCUUUUGUACGGAGCGAAACGGUCUUUCCUAAUACGAGAGGCUAAUGACGGUACCGUAAGAAUAAGCACCGGCUAACUACGUGCCAGCAGCCGCCGUAA